RNAcentral lists this ribosomal RNA (499 nucleotides) under uncultured bacterium. RNAcentral describes it as "partial 16S ribosomal RNA". It matches the Rfam family "Bacterial small subunit ribosomal RNA", at positions 28 to 507 of the family's 1533-position model. The record is from RNAcentral.
GACGAACGCUGGCGGCGUGCCUAAUACAUGCAAGUCGAGCGAAGUUUUUCUGGUGCUUGCACUAGAAAAACUUAGCGGCGAACGGGUGAGUAACACGUAAAGAACCUGCCUCAUAGACUGGGACAACUAUUGGAAACGAUAGCUAAUACCGGAUAACAGUAUUUCUCGCAUGAGAGAUAUUUAAAAGUUGGUUAUGCUAACACUAUGAGAUGGCUUUGCGGUGCAUUAGCUAGUUGGUGGGGUAAAGGCCCACCAAGGCGACGAUGCAUAGCCGACCCGAGAGGGUGAUCGGCCACACUGGGACUGAGACACGGCCCAGACUCCUACGGGAGGCAGCAGUAGGGAAUCUUCCGCAAUGGGCGAAAGCCUGACGGAGCAACGCCGCGUGAGUGAAGAAGGAUUUCGGUUCGUAAAGCUCUGUUGUUAGGGAAGAAUGGAUAUGUAGUAACUAUACAUGUAAGAGACGGUACCCAACCAGAAAGCCACGGCUAACUACGUG